ACGUAGGACGCAAGCGUUAUCCGGAGUUACUGGGCGUAAAGGGCAGGCAGGCGGGUCGAUAAGUCGGAUGUGAAAUCUCCCUGGCUUAACCGGGAGAGUGCAUUUGAGACUGUCAACCUGGAGGGCAGCAGAGGAGCGCGGAAUUCCGGGUGGAGUGGUGAAAUGCGUAGAGAUCCGGAGGAACACCAGUGGCGCAGGCGGUGUCCUGGGGCGUACCUGA
This 220-nucleotide ribosomal RNA is filed under the name uncultured prokaryote. Its description in RNAcentral is "partial 16S ribosomal RNA". It matches the Rfam family "Bacterial small subunit ribosomal RNA", at positions 525 to 743 of the family's 1533-position model. The record is from RNAcentral.